RNAcentral lists this ribosomal RNA (402 nucleotides) under uncultured prokaryote. Its description in RNAcentral is "bacterial SSU rRNA". It matches the Rfam family "Bacterial small subunit ribosomal RNA", at positions 355 to 774 of the family's 1533-position model. The record is from RNAcentral.
UGGGGAAUAUCGCACAAUGGGGGAAACCCUGAUGCAGCAACGCCGCGUGAGUGAUGACGGCCUUCGGGUUGUAAAGCUCUGUCUUCAGGGACGAUAAUGACGGUACCUGAGGAGGAAGCCACGGCUAACUACGUGCCAGCAGCCGCGGUAAUACGUAGGUGGCGAGCGUUGUCCGGAUUUACUGGGCGUAAAGGGAGCGUAGGCGGACUUUUAAGUGAGAUGUGAAAUACCCGGGCUCAACUUGGGUGCUGCAUUUCAAACUGGAAGUCUAGAGUGCAGGGGAGGAGAAUGGAAUUCCGAGUGUAGCGGUGAAAUGCGUAGGGAUUGGGAAGAACACCAGUGGCGAAGGCGAUUCUCUGGACUGUAACUGACGCUGGGUCUCGAAAGCGUGGGGAGCAAACA